Molecule: long non-coding RNA, 2416 nt
Filed under: Equus caballus (horse)
Lineage: Eukaryota; Metazoa; Chordata; Mammalia; Perissodactyla; Equidae
Description: lncRNA (ENSECAG00000055691.1)
Source: RNAcentral
AAAAAUGAUGGAUAAAGACAAAAGAGGAAGACCUCAGGGACAGUGGCAUGAAUGUGGCUGGAUAAAGACAGGGAGAAAGGACAGGAAGAAAUGAGGAGCAGGAAGAAGGUUCUGGGAGAGAAAUAACGAGGCCAAGAGAGCUGUGCCAGGAGCUGGUGGAGCGGGCAGAUGGAACAACCGAGACAGAGAACAGAGCCACAGAGGAGUGGGCACGCAGUGAGGCCUGGCAGCCAAGCCCUGCUCCACCACCCCCUCACAAGUCCCAAGGAAGCCAUGAGCUGCCACAUCACACCAGGAACGAAGCAGGCUACAUUGGAGGGUUGAAGAAACAACGGCCCAGAGACUCACCAAACUCACAGAACAGAAAGUGGGCAGGAUUCUACCUCGGGCAGCCAAGAGCAGAGCCCACACCACAACCAAGGCCGAGGCGGAUGUCCCAGCCCACACAGGGCACAAAAGGAAGGAGGAAGAGGAAGCCACGUCCCAGAGCUACCCCACAGGAGGGCGCCCCAAGUGGAGAGGCGUGGUGGCCUGAGCACCCACCUUCUAGAGAUCUCACUAUAAUCCUGGACGUGUGACACUUUCCUAGGCCCACAGCCCAGGAGCCACUGCCUCAGACUUGCUUUGAAGUUUUAGACCCCCACCCUCGAGUGGAUGGAGGCAGAGGCCCUGAAAGAAGGAAGGACUCCUCGAGGCCCCUCGGCGGACAAGUCACAGAGCAAAGAUGCCCGCUCUGGGCUCCGGAUGUCCAGCAGCCGUCUGCAACUUUGAAGUGAUUGGAGUUCCUGUGGCUGCUGUGGGCAGACGGAGGGACUCCAGAAGCCCCGGCAGACUUGAUCAGUGCAGAGCCUGAGUCUCCUUGCAACCCCAACCCCCCUCCACCUUUGAAUGAGCUCUGAAGAAAAGUGAAAGGGAGUGGGGAGAAACCCAAGCCAUCACCCUGUCAGCAGGGGAGCAUGUGAUGCGUCCUGACUUGUGCUCACUGCUGAGGAAGACACUAGAAGGUUGGCUCCUGCGUCAGACAGGACACUCCGGGCUGCAUCCUCUGCCUGGAGAGUGAGGCCACAAGAGAGCAGAGACGGGGCUCUGCCUGCCCACAGCACUGGAGAGGACUCACCGCCAGCCGUGCCCUGGAGCUUCCCUGCUGCUCAGGCUCGCACAGAUGUGGGAGUCUAGGGUGCUGUGGGGCCCUGGCUUUGUCCACACCACCCCUAUCUGAUGUUGGACUAAGAGGAGAGAGUGGAACACCCCCAGAGGCACUGAGGCAUUCCCAUGGGGUUCAUAAAGAUAACCCAAACCUUUUUCCAGUGGGAAUAAAUGUCCGUGGCCUUUAGCCCUCAAAGUGCUACUUCCUAAGGGGAGGCCCAGUCACACGUCCCAGCAGUUAGGAGGGCUGGAACCGGUAAGUGCCUCUGCAGAAAGAGCAGCAGCCAUCUGACCCAUCGUACUCUGUUCGUCUAUAGAGUGAAGGCCUCAUUACAUAAAGUCCCAGCUGACUUCAUAUAAGCUAUGACUAAGAAAACUUUCCAGAGACAGUUGGUGGUCCUCCGUCCCCCGCAGACUGGUGAGAACUACCCCCACAGGGAGGGAGCAGAGAUUAAGGCUCCUAGCCCCAUGGCCCUGAGUCAUCUCGCACAAACACUCCCCAACACUCUCCCAAAAUGGUUCCUCCCACCCGUUCACCCUCCUACCCGGGCUGGGUGACAGAAAUGAACACCCCGGAGAUCGUGCCUAGUUCUGGGCAGGCUGAGCCCAGAGAACAUGAAAUUCCCCAUAGAAUGAGGAGGCCAGACCCCCCCCACAGAAGCAAAUAAGGUCCAUUCAAAGGAAAGUCGCUACCUGACCCCACCAUAAUCACUGUAUUGUUUCUCAAAAGAGCUCAAAGCUCUGUAAUCAUAAAAUAUUAGAGCUUAAAGCAAGCUUAAAGAUUAUUCUAACCCCAUCUCUCCUUCCCUAUUUCCAGGAAUCUGCCCAUCCAAGCAUUUAUCUAUCUAUUUACUCAUUAAGCAGUUAAUUGGGUCCUACGAUUUGCCAUGUGCAUGCAGGCAAUGGGGACCAACAGACGUGGUCUUUUCUCAAGAGCUCAUCAUCCAGUGCGUGAGGAAGGCAAAUGUCAUGUAGUGCCAUAAGUACUAUGACAUGAAGAAUGCAUGUCCUAGAAGCUCUUAAAAUACUGGGACACUGUGCACAGAACUCCCUUCAAACAGGCAAGCGCAGAGCAAACAGCUAAGCAUUUAAAGCCAGCAUUUGGCAAUUAAAGGGCUGGGCGGGUGGCGGGUAAGGAAUUGUAAUAGUAAGAGCCGGCCACAAGGUGGCGCCUGAGGCUGGCGGAAGGGUUCGUCCAGGCUGGAAACGGACCCCAAACUCCCGCCCCAGCGAGGCAGGGACUCAGGCAGGACCGCCCCCUCCUGGGAGG